CACGUAGGAUCCAAGCGUUAUCCGGAUUUACUGGGCGUAAAGCGUGUGUAGGUGGUUUGUUAAGUUGGGUGUUAAAUCUCUCGGCUCAACUGGGAGUUGUCGCUCAAAACUAGCAGACUAGAGGAUGGUAGAGGGAGGUGGAAUUCCGGGUGUAGUGGUGAAAUGCGUAGAUAUCCGGAGGAACACCAGUGGCGAAGGCGGCCUCCUGGACCAUUCCUGACACUCAGACACGAAAGCUAGGGUAGCAAACAGG
RNAcentral lists this ribosomal RNA (253 nucleotides) under uncultured bacterium. RNAcentral describes it as "partial 16S ribosomal RNA". It matches the Rfam family "Bacterial small subunit ribosomal RNA", at positions 524 to 776 of the family's 1533-position model. The record is from RNAcentral.